GACGGAGGGUGCUAGCGUUGUUCGGAAUCACUGGGCGUAAAGGGCGCGUAGGCGGCUUUAUAAGUCGGGGGUGAAAGCCUGUGGCUCAACCACAGAAUUGCCUUCGAUACUGUAGAGCUUGAGACCGGAAGAGGUAAGUGGAACUGCGAGUGUAGAGGUGAAAUUCGUAGAUAUUCGCAAGAACACCAGUGGCGAAGGCGGCUUACUGGUCCGGUUCUGACGCUGAGGCGCGAAAGCGUGGGGAGCAAACAGG
This 253-nucleotide ribosomal RNA is filed under the name uncultured bacterium. Its description in RNAcentral is "partial 16S ribosomal RNA". It matches the Rfam family "Bacterial small subunit ribosomal RNA", at positions 524 to 776 of the family's 1533-position model. The record is from RNAcentral.